Molecule: ribosomal RNA, 497 nt
Filed under: uncultured bacterium
Lineage: Bacteria
Description: partial 16S ribosomal RNA
Rfam family: Bacterial small subunit ribosomal RNA
Source: RNAcentral
GAUGAACGCUGGCAGCGUGCCUAAUACAUGCAAGUCGAGCGAACAGACGAGGAGCUUGCUCCUCUGACGUUAGCGGCGGACGGGUGAGUAACACGUGGAUAACCUACCUAUCAGACUGGGAUAACUUCGGGAAUCCGGAGCUAAUACGGGAUAAUAUACUGAACCGCAUGGUUCAAUGGUAAAAGACGGUUUUGCUGUCACUUAUCGCUGCAUCCCCGCCGCAUUAGCUGGUUGGUAAGGUAACGGCUUAUCAAGGCAACGAUGCGUAACCGAACUGAGGGGGUGAUCGGCCACACUGGAACUGAGACACGGUCCAGACUCCUACGGGAGGCAGCAGUAGGGAAUCGGCCGCAAUGGGCGAAAGCCUGACGGAGCAACGCCGCGUGAGUGAUGAAGGUCUCCGGAGCGUGAAAAUCUGUUAUGAGGUAAGAACAAAUGUGGAAGGAGCUAUGCACGGCUUGACGGUACCUAAUCAGAAAGCCACGGCUAACUACGUG